RNAcentral lists this long non-coding RNA (418 nucleotides) under Phasianus colchicus (ring-necked pheasant). Its description in RNAcentral is "lncRNA (ENSPCLG00000016224.1)". The record is from RNAcentral. Lineage: Eukaryota; Metazoa; Chordata; Aves; Galliformes; Phasianidae.
CUACCUAGAGAAAUCACGUCUUUUAUGAGAGAAUAAUCUCUGAUUCACAUCAUUGCUGUAGAAGUUUUUUGUUUCUGGAAGUACGGGGGGAUGAUCCGGUAAAGCAAGUUAGACAAAUGAUUCAGUCUCCACAGCCCCAUUUACCUACCACUCAGUAACGCCACACAUCCCUCCUGAAGCAGUUGAUCAGCUUCUCUGGAAACCACAAUGAAUCUGCUCACCAGUUCAGACAAUGCACCCUUUUGUUUCCCCUGAUUCAGACAGCAACAGGAAGACAGGAAAGCAGGUUGCCACAUGGGACUUGGAAGAACUGACUGUCUUGUUAGGGUGCGGCUGGAUAUCAGACCUCAGGUUGCUCUCUGAGAUAAAACAGUCUUACCUGCUCAUCACACAUUGCAUGGUUGACCUCUUACCAUGA